CCUACGGGGGGCAGCAGUGGGGGAUAUUGCACAAUGGGGGGAACCCUGAUGCAGCGACGCCGCGUGGGUGAAGGAGUAUUUCGGUAUGUAAAGCCCUAUCGGCAGGGAAGAAGCAAGACGGUACCUGACUAAGAAGCCCCGGCUAACUACGUGCCAGCAGCCGCGGUAAUACGUAGGGGGCGAGCGUUAUCCGGAUUCACUGGGUGUAAAGGGAGCGUAGACGGCCAUGCAAGCCAGGGGUGAAAGCCCGGGGCCCAACCCCGGGACUGCCCUUGGAACUGGAUGGCUGGAGUGCGGGAGGGGCAGGCGGAAUUCGUGGUGUAGCGGUGAAAUGCGUAGAUAUCAGUAGGAACACCGGCGGCGAAGGCGGCCUGCUGGACCGCGACUGACGCUGAGGCUCGAAAGCGUGGGGAGCGAACAGGAUUAGAUACCCUAGUAGUC
Molecule: ribosomal RNA, 441 nt
Filed under: uncultured bacterium
Lineage: Bacteria
Description: partial 16S ribosomal RNA
Rfam family: Bacterial small subunit ribosomal RNA
Source: RNAcentral